This 432-nucleotide transfer-messenger RNA is filed under the name Hyphomicrobiaceae bacterium. It matches the Rfam family "Alphaproteobacteria transfer-messenger RNA". Rfam says of the family: Bacterial tmRNA, also known as 10Sa RNA or SsrA, is named for its dual tRNA and mRNA-like properties. Lineage: Bacteria; Pseudomonadati; Pseudomonadota; Alphaproteobacteria; Hyphomicrobiales; Hyphomicrobiaceae. The record is from RNAcentral.
GAAAUUCUCGCAGCAAUCGGCAUUCCCCAUGUUGACGAAUCGAAGCCGCAACCGUAGGGCGAUUCUCAUGAUCGUAAUUCGGUCAAUUGAUGGUUAGGCGUGACGCGGGGGCAGUACCCGCCAUCUCCACCAUUAGUCUUGUGGUUGGCGUCUUCCUCCAUAUGCCGGUUGCGCAUCGGCCUUUGUUCGGGGUAAGUUGGCCAACUGGGGCGCUUCUGCCAAUGUCGGCAUCUGACAUAAGGCAGUAAACCACAAGGCUGUUGAUGGGGAUGAACUAGGAUCGAACGUCUAGGCUGAUUGAGAACGCGAUUAAGUGAGGCCCGGCUUUAACAGGACCGAAAACGUAAAUGUCAACGAUAACGACAUCAUGGAAAUGCGCCUCGCGGCGUGAUUUUUCGGGGACUGGCCCACCCGGCAACAGAACGGGCCACA